Molecule: ribosomal RNA, 480 nt
Filed under: uncultured bacterium
Lineage: Bacteria
Description: bacterial SSU rRNA
Rfam family: Bacterial small subunit ribosomal RNA
Source: RNAcentral
AUCGAACGCUGGCGGCGUGGCUAAGACAUGCAAGUCGUACGGGACAUAUAGCAAUAUGUGUUCAGUGGCGGAAGGGUGAGUAAUGCAUGGGUAAUGUACCAUCGACACCGGAAUAACAGCUCGAAAGGGUUGCUAAUGCCGGAUGAAGUGCGCGGGAGGCAUCUCCUGUUCACCAAAGGCGGGGACCGCAAGGCCUGCCGGUCAUUGAUCAGCCCAUGUCCUAUCAGCUAGUUGGUGAGGUAACGGCUCACCAAGGCAUUGACGGGUAGCCGGACUGAGAGGUUGGACGGCCACAUCGGGGACUGAGACACUGCCCGGGACACCUACGGGUGGCUGCAGUAACGAAUAUUGGGCAAUGGGCGCAAGCCUGACCCAGCGACGCCGCGUGUGGGAGGAAGUCCCUCGGGAUGUAAACCACUGUCAGGGGCUAGCAAGCGAUUCGGGCGAAUAGUCCGGAAAGUUGAGCAGCUCCAGAGGAAG